RNAcentral lists this non-coding RNA (67 nucleotides) under uncultured Thiohalocapsa sp. The record is from RNAcentral. Lineage: Bacteria; Pseudomonadati; Pseudomonadota; Gammaproteobacteria; Chromatiales; Chromatiaceae.
UGAGCCGUGUGCGGUGAAAGUCGCACGCACGGUUCUUAGGGGGGGAUAGGUCAGUAAUGACCUAUCC